AGUGAACGCUGGCGGUAGGCCUAACACAUGCAAGUCGAACGGCAGCACAGUAAGAUCUUGCUCUUACGGGUGGCGAGUGGCGGACGGGUGAGGAAUACAUCGGAAUCUACUUUUUCGUGGGGGAUAACGUAGGGAAACUUACGCUAAUACCGCAUACGACCUACGGGUGAAAGCAUGGGAUCUUCGGACCUUGCGCGAUUGAAUGAGCCGAUGUCGGAUUAGCUAGUUGGCGGGGUAAAGGCCCACCAAGGCGACGAUCCGUAGCUGGUCUGAGAGAAUGAUCAGCCACAUGGGAACGGAGACACGGUCAAGACUCCUAAGGGAGGCAGCAGUGGGGAAUAUUGGACAAUGGGCGCAAGCAUGACCCAGCCAGACCGCGUGGGUGAAGAAGGCCUUCGGGUUGUAAAGCCCGUUUGUUGGGAAAGAAAAGCAGCAGGUUAAUACCCCGCUGUUCUGACGGUACCCAAAGAAUAAGCACCGGCUAACUUCGUG
RNAcentral lists this ribosomal RNA (492 nucleotides) under uncultured bacterium. RNAcentral's name for it is "partial 16S ribosomal RNA". It matches the Rfam family "Bacterial small subunit ribosomal RNA", at positions 29 to 507 of the family's 1533-position model. The record is from RNAcentral.